GCCCCAGUGGCGCAAGGGAAGCGCAGGCGAUUUGUAAUCGCCAGGUUAUCGGUUCAAGUCCGGUCUGGGGCU
Molecule: transfer RNA, 72 nt
Filed under: Chloroflexota bacterium
Lineage: Bacteria; Bacillati; Chloroflexota
Description: tRNA-Thr
Rfam family: tRNA
About the family: Transfer RNA (tRNA) molecules are approximately 80 nucleotides in length. Their secondary structure includes four short double-helical elements and three loops (D, anti-codon, and T loops). Further hydrogen bonds mediate the characteristic L-shaped molecular structure. tRNAs have two regions of fundamental functional importance: the anti-codon, which is responsible for specific mRNA codon recognition, and the 3' end, to which the tRNAs corresponding amino acid is attached (by aminoacyl-tRNA synthetases). tRNAs cope with the degeneracy of the genetic code in two manners: having more than one tRNA (with a specific anti-codon) for a particular amino acid; and 'wobble' base-pairing, i.e. permitting non-standard base-pairing at the 3rd anti-codon position.
Source: RNAcentral